Molecule: long non-coding RNA, 461 nt
Filed under: Cricetulus griseus (Chinese hamster)
Lineage: Eukaryota; Metazoa; Chordata; Mammalia; Rodentia; Cricetidae
Description: lncRNA (ENSCGRG00015042117.1)
Source: RNAcentral
CGCACACACACACACAAACCUCCAUUCACCCCCCACCUCCAGCAUCUAGGAAGAAUUAGCAACAGUGACCUCCAUCAGAAAGUCUGGAAAGAGAACACUGCCACCAGCCACCUAGGCCUAGGAGGCACGAGCUGAGGCAGCUUCUCCAUCUGGAGCAUGAGAUGGUGAGGGGAAGCUCCAGGUCUCCCAGCAGAGGGAAAAUUGCCUGCUGGAACGCUGUUGAGAAGAAAUGUGGACUGUCUCCAGGUGUCACACAGGAGAUUUAAACCCUGGGCCAGAGAGAUGUUCAGUGAGAAAAGUGCUUACUACCAAGCCUGAUGGCUGAAUUUGAUCCCAGAAGCCAAAUGGUGGAAAGAGAGAACUGACUCCCACAAAUUGUCUUAUAACCUUCAUAUACGUGUGUUUGUGCAUGCAACAUACAAAAUAAAUAAAUGUUUAAAAUUAAAGAAUUAAAUAUUGGC